CCGCGCUCCGCCCCCGGCCCGCCCCCUGCGUCGCCGGCACAGCGCCCUCCCCGGCCGGAGGCCGCCCGCGCCCGGAACCACCGCGGCGAGCGCGUCCUGGGCUUGCCUGCAGUCCGCUGCCCGGAUCUCUUGGGGAUGCCGCCUAAAAGGGCAGGUUCUGGGGCCCGUCGUCUGAGCUACCGUUUCAGGUAGCUUCUUCUGACCUCAGACUCCUUCCCCUCAAGGACAGCUCCUUUCUUUCAUCUCCACAAGCUUACCCCUCCCACCCAAAAUCUACCCGAAUGCCACUUCCAUCAGAGUCAGACAAAGCCAAAGAAGAGACUGGAAUCUGUAGCAGGUGUGUGCUGAGCUACGGCUGCGGGCCCAGCGCCAUGCUGGGAGCCCGCAGAGAAGAUCAAAAUGUAGCACACGGAGCCCUCAAACACUUAUAGUGGAGGAGGCUCAUCGUAUACUGGCACGAACACUGGAUCUUCAUUGCUUUUUCACAGGCUUUCUCUAGUUGCAGCAAGUGGGGACUACUCUUUUUUAGGGUGCAGGGGCUUCUCAUUGCGGUGGCUUCUCUUGUGGAACACAAGAGAAGAAGGCUCUAGCGUGCCAGCUCAGUAGUUGCGGCCGGGGCUUAGUUGCUCUGAGGCAUGUGCGGUCUUCCUGAGACCAGGAAUCUAACAACAUUGACAGGCAGAUUCUUAUCCUCUGAGCUACAAAGGAAGUAUUUGCUUCAUUUCUGAAUAGUCUGGGGAGCUUCUUAAAAAAAAAAAAGACCCCAGAAUCCACCCCUGCCUUAUUAAGUUUGAAUCUUGGAAGUAUAUAUUUUUUUUAAUGAGAAGUGAUUUUAAUUUGGUGAGCUCGGUAUCCAGCCGUCCUUUGGGAGCUGCUGAUGGAGGGAGUUACUGCUGGCUGUUCCGAGGAGGGAGCAGGCCCUGUGAUCCAGAGUGCACUGCCGUGGAUGACUUCAGAGUUGGCCUGCAGGGCAGCACUCCACACAGUGGGAGCAGCCUAGGUGACAGCCCAGAAGGAAGAAAGAGCGUGGCAGGUUUGGGAAACUAGUACAUUAUGAGAAAUGCUGGGCUGGAAGAAGCACAAAUUGGAAUCAAGAUUGCCGGAAGA
This is a long non-coding RNA of Bubalus bubalis (water buffalo), 1107 nucleotides long. RefSeq lists it as uncharacterized. Lineage: Eukaryota; Metazoa; Chordata; Mammalia; Artiodactyla; Bovidae. The transcript is spliced from 3 exons. The record is from RefSeq and is a predicted model, not a curated record.